RNAcentral lists this ribosomal RNA (237 nucleotides) under uncultured bacterium. RNAcentral's name for it is "partial 16S ribosomal RNA". It matches the Rfam family "Bacterial small subunit ribosomal RNA", at positions 121 to 354 of the family's 1533-position model. The record is from RNAcentral.
ACAACCUGCCGCAUGCAGGGGGAUACCGGCUGGAAACAGCCGCUAAUACCGCAUAUGCGCACAGCGCCGCAUGGCGCAGUGCGGAAAGGGAGCGAUUCCGGCAUGCGAUGGGUCCGCGUCCGAUUAGCUUGUUGGCGGGGCAGCGGCCCACCAAGGCGACGAUCGGUAGCCGGCCUGAGAGGGCGGACGGCCACAUUGGGACUGAGACACGGCCCAGACUCCUACGGAAGGCAGCAG